GGAGGCGUAGGGGCCCCGGUGGGUCCCACCGUCUUCAAAACGGCUGGGGGGCCGCUCGGCGCGGUCCCUGGUGGGUUCGACUCCCAUACGCCUCUGCCA
Molecule: transfer RNA, 99 nt
Filed under: Ktedonospora formicarum
Lineage: Bacteria; Bacillati; Chloroflexota; Ktedonobacteria; Ktedonobacterales; Ktedonobacteraceae
Description: tRNA-Sec
Rfam family: Selenocysteine transfer RNA
Source: RNAcentral